RNAcentral lists this long non-coding RNA (2945 nucleotides) under Homo sapiens (human). RNAcentral describes it as "HSALNT0227205". The record is from RNAcentral. Lineage: Eukaryota; Metazoa; Chordata; Mammalia; Primates; Hominidae.
AAUAAUAAUUUUGGUUAAAAAGUAUUGAGAAAUUUUUCAUUACUAAUUAAUUGUUCUCACAUUGAUCCUUGAAAAUUGUUGUGAUGCCCUGAAUUUUAGUUUCUUUUCUAGAAUUUUUAUCAUUAAAAUUUCUGCAAGAUAAUAGCAAAGAAAAUCUGUAGAGUAGAUUUUCUAAAAAAAUUAUAUGUAUCAGUUUUUGUAGAUGACAAGUGUUUCCUCAAUUUAUAUAAUACGUCACAGCUCAGUUCUAAAUUACAUUUCACAGACCAAGUUUUAAACUUGGCCUCCAUAAAAGUAGGCAGUUAAAAAAAAUUACCUUCAUGUUACUUGCUGGACCUGGUAAGUAAAGACAUUUAUUACUGCAUUAUUUAAAAUAGCAAAACAUGGAAGCAAUUUAUAUGUCCAACUAUAGGGGAAUGGUUGAAUAAAUGAUGGCACAUUCAUUAAGUUAAACCUAAUGCAGUUAUGAAAAGUCAUAAGUAUGAAAGCCAGGGAGAAUAUGAAAAAAAAGGAUAAUGCGAAGCAAAAAGAACUGAGAAUUAUGAGUAGACUUGGACAGUGAUUACAUCAGAUAAACAACAACAAAAUUAUUUGCAGUGAGAUGGAAAGUCUCAAUAUCUUUCAAAUAUCUUUAAUGGUUUCACAUUACUUUUAUUUUGUUUUACUUUGAGGUGGAGUCUUGCUCUGUCACCCAGGCUGGAGCGCAGUGGUAUGAUCUCAGCUCACUGCAACCUCUGCCUCCUGGGUUCAAGCAAUGCUCAUGCCUCAGUCUCCCGAGUAGCUGGGACUACAGGCACGUGCCACCAUGCCAGCUAAUUUUUUGUAUUUUUAGUACAGAUGGGGUUUCACCAUGUUAGCCAGGCUGGUCUCAAACUUCUGACUUCAGGUGAUUCACCCACCUCAGCCUCCCAAAGUGCUGGGAUUACAGGCAUGAGCCACCACACUGGUGUCAUAUUACCUUUAAAUAAUUUUUUUAGGAUACAAGAUGACAUUGUUUUAAUAUAUAAGUAAAGGAAUCACCAGGAUGCACUGGGCCUGUCCCUAUGAGCACCAAGUUGAUAUGCACACACCCAAGUGUGAGGCACCUGCUAUACACACUGUGUAUGUACGUGUGCGUAAAACCUUGAGGAAAAUGCCAUUUGCCCCAUCCAUUUUUCCAAAGACGGUUCAAAGACAGUAUUUAUCACUAAAUUCCUCCAAAACCUUAAAACCACAUGUGUGCAUUUGCACUUGUGAGUCACUGAAAUCCACUUUGAGAUCAUUAGCAACAAUGGACAGGGUGGCCCAGCCUGUCAUGGCAUGGGGACAGGUAGGGAUGCUACAGUUGGAAAUGGACUGACUCAUACUCAGGCUGUCACAGCCUGGUCUCAGCCUGUAGGGCUCAUGCUGAGAAUGGUACAGGCAGGGGAGCCAGGGACUAGUGUCCAGAUGAGACAUCAGGCUCCAUCACCCAUUGGCUGAGUCACCCAGGCAGCAGAGCUCACCUGUCUGCUGGGCCUGUUUCUCUGUCUGCACAGCAAGCAUCACAGUCACUAUAGUCAAAAUGUGUCCUCUAGAAUUCAUGUGUCAGAAACAAUCCCCAAUGCAACCAUGUUAGGAGGUGGGGCCGAAUGGGAGGUGUUGAGGUUGUGAGGGCCUUACCCUCGUGAAUGGAUUAAUGCCAUUAUAAAAAAGGGCUUGCAGAAGUCGGUUCACUCUCAGAUGCUCUUGUCCUCAUGUCUUCCGUCAUGUGAUGAUGCAGCAAGAAGGCCCUUGCCAGACACUAGUGCCUCAAUCUUGGGCUUCCCAGUUUCCAGAAAAAUUUCUGUUUGUUGUAUAUCACCCAGUCUCAGGUCUUCUGUUACAGCAGCAAAAAAGGGACUAAGACAACAGUCUGCCUAUGGACUCCUUGAGAAUUAAAGGGAAUGCAGGAGGCCCACCUAUCCUUGGAUCGGGUCCAUAUGUUCUCAACAAAUGGCAAUUUCUACUCUGAUGGUCUGGAAGGGUGUGACGAGUGGGUUGUUUUUCUUUUUCAAGUGUUCUGUGGUGCUUGUAUAGAGCUUGUCAUGAAAAUUUAUAAGGCACAAGUCACCCAUUUAUCGCACUCUGUGACCUUGGUUAAAUUCUGUAUCCUCUCUCUGCCUCAAUGUUUUCAUCUGUAGAAUGGGAAUGCUGGUGCAUGCCCGUGGUGCACAGGUUUGUUGUAAGGCUAAAUGAGCUAACUCAUGUAGGCAUCUAGCACAGAGUCUGGCUCAUUCUAAGUACAAAAUAAAUGCUGCUAACUGUUGGUUUUUGCUAGGGUGUGACUUACAGGAUAAGAAUAAUCAACCUCUGUUCAUUUCUAUUCAGAUGAAUUGGCCCUCAGAAGCUGGCUUUCUACAAGGUCCAGCUGGGUCAGGAAAAACAAUAACAAGAGCAGCUAAACGCAUUGAGUUCCUCUGAAAUGUCAGGCACUCCUAUGAGUACACAGUGGUUCCCUGCUCAAAGGAUGGGGGAACAGAGGAUCGGCCUUUGCCCAGCUCUGGCUGAGAGCUCUUGGAUGAAGAAUAACUGAUGCAGAGACAUCUCAGCCCUUUGCCCUGACCAGUGCCAAGAGGCCCAUUGCCGAUGAGAGGGUGACACCUAUGACCCGGUUCACAGAUCCAGAGCCAGUGAGGAGCUCUUGGAGAUCAGGAAGCCCCUCAGUCCCAGGCAGACUGAAGCUGUUGGCAGCCCUGGAAUCAGGUGCCACAGAGGCACUGCCAAGACAGGCUGAGAAUCUCUCACCCCUAACACCAGAUUUCCAGAGGAGGGAAGCUGAUCAGCCAAGCCAGGCCAGAUAUCCACCCAGAUCUUCAUCUGCUGUGGCCAAGAGGAGGACCCUAUGGUUGGGAACUGGAGCCCCUAUUACCUGCUGAACACUGCUCCAGAACAUAAGAAAUGCUACAAAAAAAUGAAACAGAAUAAAUGGUGUCAUAAAUUGAAUG